GGUCCCUUAGCUCAGUUGGUUAGAGCAACUGACUCAUAAUCAGUGGGUCGCAGGUUCAAGUCCUGCAGGGACCA
Molecule: transfer RNA, 74 nt
Filed under: Saprospiraceae bacterium
Lineage: Bacteria; Pseudomonadati; Bacteroidota; Saprospiria; Saprospirales; Saprospiraceae
Description: tRNA-Ile
Rfam family: tRNA
About the family: Transfer RNA (tRNA) molecules are approximately 80 nucleotides in length. Their secondary structure includes four short double-helical elements and three loops (D, anti-codon, and T loops).
Source: RNAcentral